UAGAUGCGAGAGUAGAGCAUAUCAAUAAGCGGAGGAAAAGAAACUAACAAGGAUUCCCUUAGUAACGGCGAGUGAAGCGGGAAGAGCUCAAAUUUGAAAUCUUCAAGGUUCUACCUUGACGAAUUGUAGUUUAAAGAAGUGUUUUCUGUUAGAUGAGUAGCAAAAGUUCCUUGGAAUGGGACAUCAUAGAGGGUGAGAAUCCCGUAUUUGGUUAUUCAUUCUAGCUUUGUGAUACACUUUCAAAGAGUCGGAUUGUUUGGGAAUGCAGUCCAAAAUGGGUGGUAAAUUUCAUCUAAAGCUAAAUAUUAGGCGAGAGACCGAUAGCGAACAAGUACCGUGAGGGAAAGAUGAAAAGAACUUUGAAAAGAGAGUUAAACAGUACGUGAAAUUGUCAAAAGGGAAGCGUUUGACACCAGUGUUGUUUUUCCGAAAAUCAAUUACGAAUGGCUUGAUUUUGUGUUGUAUUGACCUUAUCAGCUUUCUUCACUUUUUUCGAGUCUUUCUUAAUGCACUUUUCGGUUAACAAGUCAACAUCAAUUUCUUUUGUUGUAAAAGAGUAUUCGGAAGGGGGCUUUCUUUUCGGAGAAAGUGUUUAUAGCCCUAUACUUCUACAAUCGGAGAGAUUGAGGUCUGCAGCGUAGAUCCUUCGGGGUUAGAUACACUUGUGCUAAGUUGUAGCUUUUCAUAGACAACUUGUUGACUAUGUUUAGUCAUGCGGCUUACUCGCUUGUGCUAUUUUACCUACGCUUAGGAUGUUGAGCGCAUGUCUCUCUCU
This 775-nucleotide ribosomal RNA is filed under the name uncultured Neocallimastigales. RNAcentral describes it as "partial large subunit ribosomal RNA". It matches the Rfam family "Eukaryotic large subunit ribosomal RNA", at positions 22 to 616 of the family's 3401-position model. Lineage: Eukaryota; Fungi; Neocallimastigomycota; Neocallimastigomycetes; Neocallimastigales. The record is from RNAcentral.